RNAcentral lists this ribosomal RNA (252 nucleotides) under uncultured bacterium. RNAcentral describes it as "partial 16S ribosomal RNA". It matches the Rfam family "Bacterial small subunit ribosomal RNA", at positions 524 to 776 of the family's 1533-position model. The record is from RNAcentral.
UACGUAGGUGGCAAGCGUUGUCCGGAAUUAUUGGGCGUAAAGCGCGCGCAGGUGGCUAUGUAAGUCUGAUGUUAAAGCCCGGGGCUCAACCCCGGUCCGCAUUGGAAACUGUGUAGCUUGAGUGCAGGAGAGGAAAGUGGUAUUCCACGUGUAGCGGUGAAAUGCGUAGAGAUGUGGAGGAACACCAGUGGCGAAGGCGACUUUCUGGCCUGUAACUGACACUGAGGCGCGAAAGCGUGGGGAGCAAACAGG